Nerophis lumbriciformis (worm pipefish) is the source of this 652-nucleotide non-coding RNA. Lineage: Eukaryota; Metazoa; Chordata; Actinopteri; Syngnathiformes; Syngnathidae. The record is from RefSeq and is a predicted model, not a curated record.
GAUUCUAAUCAUUUGGAUGGGUGGCCAAACACUUUUGGCAAUAUAGUGUAUAUGCCUGCCUAGAACCAGCCCUGCUGAGUUUCAUUGUCUGCUUAUUCCUACUCAGGGAGGAGGCAUACUGCUCGAGGAGGCUGCAGUCCGUGCUGUCCGCACCGCCGUUUCUUGGACUGGGCGCUCGCACUGUCAUCACCGACUCUCCCGUCCCGCUGCUCAAGAAACCAUCCUCCUGCACCGCCAGCUCUUCGCCCGUAGUCUGGAAGCCCGAGUCCGGGAAGGAGACGUCCAUGGCCGCUUGGUUUGUGGUGCUGCAAGCCGCAGGGGGCGGCGGCGCCGCCUGGCACGGACCACCGGGGAUGGGAGGGAGAUCCCGCAGCUGUUCCUCUACAGACUGCUUCCACUGCAGCAUGGACUGCGCCUGGAAGAGAAACCUAACAGCAUCCUCCUGUACCAGCCGUUGUAACCUCUCCUCCUCGCACUGCCUCUGCACCCUGCAAAUCAAAAUACGCACCACUUGAGUGGAAAUUAUGUUUGGUCCAAGUGGGGACAAAAUAAAACUACAUGAAUCUCAAAUUUUGGACACAGUCCAUCUGUAUUUUUCUCUGUCUGGGCGACAGAAUUUAGAGCCUGCUCCUUUGACCAUGCCUACUCUGUU